RNAcentral lists this ribosomal RNA (508 nucleotides) under uncultured bacterium. Its description in RNAcentral is "partial 16S ribosomal RNA". It matches the Rfam family "Bacterial small subunit ribosomal RNA", at positions 30 to 523 of the family's 1533-position model. The record is from RNAcentral.
AUUGAACGCUGGCGGCAUGCCUUACACAUGCAAGUCGAACGGCAGCGGGGGAGAAGCUUGCUUUUCCUGCCGGCGAGUGGCGAACGGGUGAGUAAUACAUCGGAACGUGCCCUGUAGUGGGGGAUAACUAUUCGAAAGAUUAGCUAAUACCGCAUACGACCUGAGGGUGAAAGUGGGGGACCGCAAGGCCUCAUGCUAUAGGAGCGGCCGAUGUCUGAUUAGCUAGUCGGUGGGGUAAAGGCCUACCGAGGCGACGAUCAGUAGCUGGUCUGAGAGGACGAUCAGCCACACUGGGACUGAGACACGGCCCAGACUCCUACGGGAGGCAGCAGUGGGGAAUUUUGGACAAUGGGCGAAAGCCUGAUCCAGCAAUGCCGCGUGUGUGAAGAAGGCCUUCGGGUUGUAAAGCACUUUUGUCCGGAAAGAAAUGGCUCUGGUUAAUACCUGGGGUCGAUGACGGUACCGGAAGAAUAAGGACCGGCUAACUACGUACCAGCCGCCGCCGUAA